GAUCGACCUUUGUACUCCACGGUGAGUCUUGCAGCUAAGAGACGCAAAUUAAAUUAUGAGUCAAAGCCCAUAUUUUGAAAAACAACAUUGCAUUAGUGUAUAUAGGCAGCACCUUGGGAACAUUUAUAGAAUAUGGAUUCUUGGGUCCCUCUCCAGGGAUUCUAAUUCAGUCAUUCCUGGGCCCAAGAAUCUACGUUUUAUGUUAACCUGACCUAAAUGUGACCAUUAUGAGGGCAGGAAACGGUUUUGAUCCCUAACAUAUCCCAAGUGCUUUACAUGAAGAACUUGGUACAGCACAGGCUCUUGGUCAUUGGUGGUUGAAUAAAUAAAUGAAUGAAAAAGUACUGAUCUUCAAAUGAUUCCAUCCUUCAACCCCAGCGGUGCCUGCCUCCCUUUGCAUCUAUACUGUUGUCUUUGUUUUUUUAAGAUAGAUACUCAAAUAGUCUCUAGACCUUUGAAUUGCAAAAUUGCUUUGAAUCUCCAAGUUGGAAGCAGCCUUGAAAGUCUCUAAUCUAGGGAUUC
Molecule: long non-coding RNA, 522 nt
Filed under: Pan troglodytes (chimpanzee)
Lineage: Eukaryota; Metazoa; Chordata; Mammalia; Primates; Hominidae
Description: long non-coding RNA NONPTRT001839
Source: RNAcentral